Molecule: ribosomal RNA, 478 nt
Filed under: uncultured bacterium
Lineage: Bacteria
Description: partial 16S ribosomal RNA
Rfam family: Bacterial small subunit ribosomal RNA
Source: RNAcentral
GGAUUAACGCUGGCGGCGUGCAUAACACAUGCAAGUCGAACGAUGAAACUUAACUGAUUUCUUCGGAAUGAUUUUAAGUGGAUUAGUGGCGGACGGGUGAGUAACGCGUGAGUAACCUGCCUUGGAGAAGGGGAAAGCCUUUGGAAACGAAGAAUAAUACCCUAUGAUAUGAUAAUAUCUCAUGAUAUUAUCAUCAAAGAUUUAUCGCUCUAAGAUGGACUUGCGUCUGAUUAGUUAGUUGGUGAGGUAACAGCUCACCAAGGCAGCGAUCAGUAGCCGGCUUGAGAGAGUGUACGGCCACAUUGGGACUGAGACACGGCCCAGACUCCUACGGGAGGCAGCAGUGGGGAAUUUUGCACAAUGGGGGAAACCCUGAUGCAGCGACGCCGCGUGAUUUAGAAGGCCUUCGGGUUGUAAAAAUCUUUUGUAUGGGAAGAAAAUGACAGUACCAUACGAAUAAGGACCGGCUAAUUACGUG